This is a long non-coding RNA of Nyctereutes procyonoides (raccoon dog), 2104 nucleotides long. RefSeq lists it as uncharacterized. The transcript is spliced from 4 exons. The record is from RefSeq and is a predicted model, not a curated record. NCBI's taxonomy places the organism in Eukaryota, Metazoa, Chordata, Mammalia, Carnivora, Canidae.
UUCAUGAGAGACACACAGAGAGAGACACAGAAACAAAGACAGAGGGAGAAGCAGGUUCCCUGUGAGGAGCCUUGUGCAGGACUCAAUCUCAGGACCCCAGGAUCAUGACCUGAGCUAAAGGAAGACACUCAACCAUUGAGCCACCCAGCUUUUGGUGAAGAUCCACUUCAGAAUUUCUCAGUGGCAUAUAAUCUGGAUGUGACCUUCCACCAGUUGGACACUCAGAGAGAAAUGGACAUGAGGCACUUGAUGACUUUCAGAUGCACUGCUUGACUUUCCAAGACAAUUGCACUGGCUAGAGAGAACUUAUGGAUUCUCUUUUCCAUGGAUUCUCAAUCCAAGAUGGUGACCAGAACGGCCUGCCUCAUUGCUGAACAAUAGCCAACAUCCUUCACUGACCGCAGCCCAUUUGUUGCUUCUCUUACUUAAUUGGCUUUACAUGGAAGUGCUUCAGCUGAAAGCAUGUCAUUUUUUUACGGAACUGUGCCAGAAAACAAUUAAUUUCAAAUACGCAGCUUUUAUUUUUGAUGCUGCAGUUCCUGUCUGAGGCAACAUUUAUUUAUGUUCCUGUCUGAGGAAGAUAACACACCAGCUGAAGGAACAAGCAAAUGCAGACCCCGGGGAAUAGCAUUGUUGUUGGUCGAACCCUCCUGGCUUUUGCAUCCUGCAGCUGGGGCUGCCUUUGCAAAAUGGUAGCACUGUACCCGGGAACUGGCGCUCUUCUUUCUUUCUUUUUUUUCAAGUAUAAUUUAUUAGCUAGUUCAUAAUCUGGCUAGAACCCGAACAACUGUGGGAAUGUUCCCAUGAAAUCCUACAUGCAAAGGGAUAUUAUUCGAAUUCCGUGGGGAUUUUCAUGCCCAUCUCAACCCCAGCUCUGUGGGGGGGAAAAAAAGUAGGAGAAAAAAGAAAAUGCAUGCUAUUUAUUCUGUUUAUGUCCCUCAGGAGCCUACUAAUGUUUCAUUUACCCUAUAUGUUUCUAAGUCUAUGUUUUAGUAUGCUCUACUUGGGUUCUGUUGCUUUUACUUAAACUUGCAAGGACACUGCAGAGAUGGUCCCAGAAGGACAACCACACAGCAGGGUAGGAGCCCAGGCACUUGUCAUAUUCCAGAUCCCCUCUGAGUGGUGGAUGAAGGCAGCUUCAAGAUGAUCCCUAUUCGGCAGGCAGCAUGAUCUGUUGCUGUCUCACUCUCCAUGGCUUGUGUGUGAGCUGGUAGCUUAAGAAUUAAGAAGGAGCAAAAGGUUAAUUUGCUUCCAUGACUUGUCUCUCAAACAUGCCAAAUAAAGAGCUUCACAACUACUUCUGCUUGGAGCUGAACAACUCACCUGUCUCUUUGACCAAGGUCCCCUGUCCUGGUCAUCUAAUUUAAAACUUUCCCUUUGGUGCAGGUGAAGCCCGCUGUUGUGAUUUGGCAAAAACAAGUGAUGUAGCUUGUGUUAAAGAUCCUUCCUAUUUUCUUAAGAAGCAUUUGGUGCUACUAAAAAUUACCAACUGUUUGUUUGCCAGUGACGUCAAGCAGGGGAAUAGGAAACACUGAUCAUUCUUGUUUCCUUGAGCAGUCCAAUCCCAUGUCAACAAAUGGGUUACCUCCUUCCCUCCCUCCCCAGGCUCCUCCCUCCUUUCUGCCCUUAGACAAACAUAAAGAAUUUAAAAAAUCACAACCAAUGAAAAGACGACUUAUGAGAGCAAUAUAUAAGUAAGAUCUCAAUACAGGCAACCUCAGUGACACUUACAUUGUUGUUCAAGUUGAACUGAAAAUUUGGCUUUGAGCUUCCUAGCGGUCAAAGCAAAAUAGAAUCAUCUUCAGUUGUGUGGGUCCCUUUGACCACACAGAGAACAUAUACCAGUUAGCCUAGAAAAGUAACAUAUUCUUGGCAUUUGUUCUGAGAGCUACCAUCUAUUGCUCUACAUAAUAUAUGAGCCAAGCAUCAUGAUGUAUGCAAAGCAAUAGCUUUAUUAUAAAAUUGAUCCUGGUUCUAAUAACUCCAAUUCUGUAGCAUUUCCAGGGAACACUGAAGCAUGCUUUAAGUGUGUGAUUUAGUAAAAGGAAUCCUGAGAGCCUAGACUGUUUCUACAAAUUAACCUAGCUUUCUGGUUCUCUCUCUU